GAAAUGCGAUAAGUAGUGUGAAUUGCAGAAUUCAGUGAAUCAUCGAAUCUUUGAACGCACAUUGCGCCCUUUGGUAUUCCUUAGGGCAUGCCUGUUCGAGCGUCAUCUAAACCUUCAAGCCCUGCUUGGUGUUGGGUGCCUGUCCCGCCUCCGCGCGCGGACUCACCUCAAAUCCAUUGGCGGCCCCCGCGUCGGCCACGAGCGCAGCAGAAACGCGAACUCGUGAGUCCGUCCGGGCGGCUCCCAGAAGCUACACCCACCCAGUUUGACCUCGGAUCAGGUAGGGUUACCCGCUGAACUUAAGC
Molecule: unclassified non-coding RNA, 305 nt
Filed under: plant metagenome
Description: partial contains 5.8S ribosomal RNA, internal transcribed spacer 2, and large subunit ribosomal RNA
Rfam family: 5.8S ribosomal RNA (bases 1-105)
Source: RNAcentral